Molecule: microRNA precursor, 245 nt
Filed under: Lotus japonicus
Lineage: Eukaryota; Viridiplantae; Streptophyta; Magnoliopsida; Fabales; Fabaceae
Description: miR11145a stem-loop (lja-MIR11145a)
Source: miRBase by way of RNAcentral
AGGCUUAAUAGCUCUUUUGGUCCCUCACUUAUUAUAAUUUUGCAUUUUUGGUCCCCAAUAAAAAAACUAGCACUUUUGGUCCUCCACAUUGCUUAAUUUUUUGGAAAAAUGAUCCCUAUUUCACUAUUUGGGACUAAAAUGGCAAAAGUGUGUAAAUGUAAGGGACUAAUUAUGCUAAUUUUUUUCUAGAGGGACCAAAAGUGCAAAAUCGUGAUAAGUGAGGGACCAAAAGAGCUAUUAAGCUU